CUCAGAAAGUACGUCUAAGUCCGGAUUGGAGUCUGCAACUCGACUCCAUGAAGUCGGAAUCGCUAGUAAUCGCAAAUCAGAAUGUUGCGGUGAAUACGUUCCCGGGCCUUGUACACACCGCCCGUCACACCAUGGGAGUGGGUUGUACCAGAAGUAGAUAGCUUAACCGAAAGGGGGGCGUUUACCACGGUAUGAUUCAUGACUGGGGUGAAGUCGUAACAAGGUAACCGUAGGGGAACCUGCGGUUGGAUCACCUCCUUA
Molecule: ribosomal RNA, 261 nt
Filed under: Mannheimia haemolytica D35
Lineage: Bacteria; Pseudomonadati; Pseudomonadota; Gammaproteobacteria; Pasteurellales; Pasteurellaceae
Description: partial 16S ribosomal RNA
Rfam family: Bacterial small subunit ribosomal RNA
Source: RNAcentral